Long non-coding RNA from Oncorhynchus masou masou (cherry salmon), 103 nucleotides. RefSeq lists it as uncharacterized. NCBI's taxonomy places the organism in Eukaryota, Metazoa, Chordata, Actinopteri, Salmoniformes, Salmonidae. The transcript is spliced from 3 exons. The record is from RefSeq and is a predicted model, not a curated record.
GGGAUUGCUACAGCUCCAACAACAUCAGGGACUCCAGGAAACGAAAGAGACAACAAGAUAUGAGAAGUCAAAAACUGAAAGCCAUAGACGAGCGCAGGGUGGU